Molecule: long non-coding RNA, 390 nt
Organism: Ictalurus punctatus (channel catfish)
Lineage: Eukaryota; Metazoa; Chordata; Actinopteri; Siluriformes; Ictaluridae
Source: Ensembl
GUCUCAGUAGGAUCUGCAUCAGACAGAAAAGUUGAGAAACUUAAGAAAAAUUUGUUGUCUAUUAAUAAUAAGUCGUAGCUAAUAAAACAUUAGCUAAAGGUAGCAAAUAAUAAACUUUAAAAAUGCAAUGUUGUGCCUCUGAGCACUGAAUAUUCUUAAGGUUAAAGGGUUUCCAGUGUUUGCUCUACAGUUAGUUUGUUGUGGUCUGGGUGGUCAGUGUGGUCAGGGUGAUCUGGGUGGUCAGGGUGAUCUGGGUGAUCUGGGUGGUCAGGGUGAUCUGGGUGGUCUGGGUGAUCUGGGUGAUCUGGGUGAUCUGGGUGGUCAGUGUGGUCUGGGUGAUCUGGGUGGUCAGUGUGGUCUGGGUGGUCAGGGUGAUCUGGGUGAUCUGGG